This 600-nucleotide ribosomal RNA is filed under the name Streptomyces albospinus. RNAcentral describes it as "bacterial SSU rRNA". It matches the Rfam family "Bacterial small subunit ribosomal RNA", at positions 233 to 844 of the family's 1533-position model. The record is from RNAcentral. Lineage: Bacteria; Bacillati; Actinomycetota; Actinomycetes; Kitasatosporales; Streptomycetaceae.
CGGCCCCUUACACUUGUUGGUGGGGUGAUGGCCUACCAAGGCGACGACGGGUAGCCGGCCUGAGAGGGCGACCGGCCACACUGGGACUGAGACACGGCCCAGACUCCUACGGGAGGCAGCAGUGGGGAAUAUUGCACAAUGGGCGAAAGCCUGAUGCAGCGACGCCGCGUGAGGGAUGACGGCCUUCGGGUUGUAAACCUCUUUCAGCAGGGAAGAAGCGAGAGUGACGGUACCUGCAGAAGAAGCGCCGGCUAACUACGUGCCAGCAGCCGCGGUAAUACGUAGGGCGCAAGCGUUGUCCGGAAUUAUUGGGCGUAAAGAGCUCGUAGGCGGCUUGUCGCGUCGGAUGUGAAAGCCCGGGGCUUAACCCCGGGUCUGCAUUCGAUACGGGCAGGCUAGAGUUCGGUAGGGGAGAUCGGAAUUCCUGGUGUAGCGGUGAAAUGCGCAGAUAUCAGGAGGAACACCGGUGGCGAAGGCGGAUCUCUGGGCCGAUACUGACGCUGAGGAGCGAAAGCGUGGGGAGCGAACAGGAUUAGAUACCCUGGUAGUCCACGCCGUAAACGUUGGGAACUAGGUGUGGGCGACAUCCACGUCGUCCUC